GACGAACGCUGGCGGCGUGCUUAACACAUGCAAGUCGAACGGAAAGGCCCUGCUUUUGUGGGGUGCUCGAGUGGCGAACGGGUGAGUAACACGUGAGUAACCUGCCCUUGACUUUGGGAUAACUUCAGGAAACUGGGGCUAAUACCGGAUAGGAGCUCCUGCUGCAUGGUGGGGGUUGGAAAGUUUCGGCGGUUGGGGAUGGACUCGCGGCUUAUCAGCUUGUUGGUGGGGUAGUGGCUUACCAAGGCUUUGACGGGUAGCCGGCCUGAGAGGGUGACCGGCCACAUGGGGACUAAGAGACGGACCAGACGCCUACGGGAGGCAGCAGUGGGGAAUAUUGCACAAUGGGCGGAAGACUGAUGCAGCAACGCCGCGUGCGGGAUGACGGCCUUCGGGUUGUAAACCGCUUUCGCCUGUGACGAAGCGGGAGUGACGGUAAUGGGUAAAGAAGCACCGGCUAACUACGUG
RNAcentral lists this ribosomal RNA (468 nucleotides) under uncultured bacterium. RNAcentral describes it as "partial 16S ribosomal RNA". It matches the Rfam family "Bacterial small subunit ribosomal RNA", at positions 28 to 507 of the family's 1533-position model. The record is from RNAcentral.